Molecule: small RNA, 92 nt
Filed under: Dasypus novemcinctus (nine-banded armadillo)
Lineage: Eukaryota; Metazoa; Chordata; Mammalia; Cingulata; Dasypodidae
Description: Y RNA (ENSDNOG00000029929.1)
Source: RNAcentral
GGCACAGUGGAAGUUACAAUUAAUUGAUUACAUUCACUUACAGAUUACUUUGCUCAUGCUCUUCUUCCACUGCUUCACAUGACAAGUCUUGA